CCAGCAGCCGCGGUAAUUCCAGCUCCAAUAGCGUAUAUUAAAGUUGUUGCGGUUAAAAAGCUCGUAGUUGGAUCUCGGCGGCCAGGGGGUGGUUCGCUCUACGGCGUUACUGCCCCAUUUGGCCGUGUGAUUGGCGGAGGUUUCGGGGUGCUCUUCGCUGAGUGACCCGGGGCGCCGUCAGGUUUACUUUGAAAAAAUUAGAGUGCUCAAAGCAGGCUAUUCCGCCUGAAUAUUCGUGCAUGGAAUAAUAGAAUAGGAUGUCGAUCCUAUUUUGUUGGUUUUCGGGACUCGACAUAAUGAUUAAUAGGGACAAUUGGGGGCAUUUGUAUUCAAACGACAGAGGUGAAAUUCUUGGACCGUUUGAAGACAAACUACUGCGAAAGCAUUUGCCAAGAAUGUUUUCAUUAAUCAAGAACGAAAGU
RNAcentral lists this ribosomal RNA (422 nucleotides) under uncultured eukaryote. RNAcentral describes it as "SSU rRNA". It matches the Rfam family "Eukaryotic small subunit ribosomal RNA", at positions 567 to 990 of the family's 1831-position model. The record is from RNAcentral.